Molecule: transfer RNA, 74 nt
Filed under: Pteropus alecto (black flying fox)
Lineage: Eukaryota; Metazoa; Chordata; Mammalia; Chiroptera; Pteropodidae
Rfam family: tRNA
About the family: Transfer RNA (tRNA) molecules are approximately 80 nucleotides in length. Their secondary structure includes four short double-helical elements and three loops (D, anti-codon, and T loops). Further hydrogen bonds mediate the characteristic L-shaped molecular structure. tRNAs have two regions of fundamental functional importance: the anti-codon, which is responsible for specific mRNA codon recognition, and the 3' end, to which the tRNAs corresponding amino acid is attached (by aminoacyl-tRNA synthetases). tRNAs cope with the degeneracy of the genetic code in two manners: having more than one tRNA (with a specific anti-codon) for a particular amino acid; and 'wobble' base-pairing, i.e. permitting non-standard base-pairing at the 3rd anti-codon position.
Source: Rfam by way of RNAcentral
GGCUCCAUAGUGUAGUGGUUAGCACGUCUGCUUUACAUGCAGAAGGUCCUGAGUUCGAGCUCCAGGUGGAGCCA